AAAUUGAAGAGUUUGAUCAUGGCUCAGAUUGAACGCUGGCGGCAGGCCUAACACAUGCAAGUCGAACGGUAGCACAGAGAGCUUGCUCUCGGGUGACGAGUGGCGGACGGGUGAGUAAUGUCUGGGAAACUGCCCGAUGGAGGGGGAUAACUACUGGAAACGGUAGCUAAUACCGCAUAACGUCGCAAGACCAAAGUGGGGGACCUUCGGGCCUCACACCAUCGGAUGUGCCCAGAUGGGAUUAGCUAGUAGGUGGGGUAACGGCUCACCUAGGCGACGAUCCCUAGCUGGUCUGAGAGGAUGACCAGCCACACUGGAACUGAGACACGGUCCAGACUCCUACGGGAGGCAGCAGUGGGGAAUAUUGCACAAUGGGCGCAAGCCUGAUGCAGCCAUGCCGCGUGUAUGAAGAAGGCCUUCGGGUUGUAAAGUACUUUCAGCGAGGAGGAAGGCGUUGUGGUUAAUAACCACAGCGAUUGACGUUACUCGCAGAAGAAGCACCGGCUAACUCCGUGCCAGCAGCCGCGGUAAUACGGAGGGUGCAAGCGUUAAUCGGAAUUACUGGGCGUAAAGCGCACGCAGGCGGUUUGUUAAGUCAGAUGUGAAAUCCCCGGGCUCAACCUGGGAACUGCAUUUGAAACUGGCAAGCUUGAGUCUCGUAGAGGGGGGUAGAAUUCCAGGUGUAGCGGUGAAAUGCGUAGAGAUCUGGAGGAAUACCGGUGGCGAAGGCGGCCCCCUGGACAAAGACUGACGCUCAGGUGCGAAAGCGUGGGGAGCAAACAGGAUUAGAUACCCUGGUAGUCCACGCCGUAAACGAUGUCUACUUGGAGGUUGUGCCCUUGAGGCGUGGCUUCCGGAGCUAACGCGUUAAGUAGACCGCCUGGGGAGUACGGCCGCAAGGUUAAAACUCAAAUGAAUUGACGGGGGCCCGCACAAGCGGUGGAGCAUGUGGUUUAAUUCGAUGCAACGCGAAGAACCUUACCUGGUCUUGACAUCCACGGAAGUUUUCAGAGAUGAGAAUGUGCCUUCGGGAACCGUGAGACAGGUGCUGCAUGGCUGUCGUCAGCUCGUGUUGUGAAAUGUUGGGUUAAGUCCCGCAACGAGCGCAACCCUUAUCCUUUGUUGCCAGCGGUUAGGCCGGGAACUCAAAGGAGACUGCCAGUGAUA
This 1167-nucleotide ribosomal RNA is filed under the name Salmonella enterica subsp. enterica serovar Kentucky. RNAcentral's name for it is "bacterial SSU rRNA". It matches the Rfam family "Bacterial small subunit ribosomal RNA", at positions 1 to 1160 of the family's 1533-position model. The record is from RNAcentral. Lineage: Bacteria; Pseudomonadati; Pseudomonadota; Gammaproteobacteria; Enterobacterales; Enterobacteriaceae.